Molecule: non-coding RNA, 4190 nt
Organism: Ictidomys tridecemlineatus (thirteen-lined ground squirrel)
Lineage: Eukaryota; Metazoa; Chordata; Mammalia; Rodentia; Sciuridae
Source: RefSeq, a predicted model, not a curated record
AGUAACCAAUGGACGUUUCCCAGAACGCUUCAGUGAGCGUUGCCUCUCCACGGAACGAGGUUGUGUGUCCAUUCCUCGGCUCCUGUGUGGUGAUGUGAGCUGAGGGCUGUAAAUACCCUCCAGCCUGGCAGGGUUGUUGGGACGAAUGAGAUAGGCUCUUCAAGGAAUUAACCAGGACUCAGUAAGCGACUGAAAAGUGUGAACUCUCUGAUGGGCUUGAAGGUAUGAGCUCCAACUGAAGACCUUCCCACAUUCCUCACAUUUGUAUGGCUUCUCUCCAGUGUGGACCCUCUGGUGGGCUUGAAGGUAGGAUCUCUGUCGAAAACGCUUUCCACACACAUCACAUCGGUAUGGUUUUUCUCCUGUGUGGACGCCACGAUGAGCCAGAAAGUUUGAGGCCCGACAGAAGCCCUUCCCACACUCCGCACAUUGAUAUGGUUUCUCUCCAGUGUGGCACCUCUGAUGGGCUUGAAGCUGAGAACCUACACUGAAGCCCUUCCCACACUCAGCACACUGAUAUGGUUUCUCCCCAGUGUGGACUCUCUGAUGCACUUGAAGACUUGAGAACUGACUGAAAGCCUUGCCACACUUUUCACAUUUAUAGGGUUUCUCUCCUGUAUGGAUUCUACAGUGAACGUUAAGAUCUGAACUCCGACUGAAGCCCUUCCCACAAGUACCACAUUUGUAUGGCUUUUCUCCAGUGUGGCCUCUCUGAUGGGCCAGAAGAUUUGAGGCCUGACUGAAGCCCUUACCACACUCCUCACAUUUAUAGGGUUUUUCUCCUGUAUGGACUCUAAAAUGAAUGUUAAAAUCUGAGCUACGACUGAAGCCCUUACCACAAGCAUCACACUGAUACGGUUUCUCUCCAGUAUGGCCUCUCUGAUGGUCCAGGAGAUUUGAGGCCCGACAGAAACCCUUCCCACACUCCUCACAUUUGUAUGGUUUCUCUCCAGUGUGGCUUAUCUGAUGGGCCUGAAGGUGUGAACCCACACUGAAGCCUUUCCCACACUCCUCACAUUUGUAGGGUUUCUCCCCUGUGUGGAUUCUACAGUGAAUGUUAAGGUGUGAGCUAUAACUAAAGCCCUUGCCACAUGCAUUGCAUUUGUAUGGUUUCUCUCCAGUGUGGAUUCGCUGAUGGGCCUGUAGUCGUGAACGCCAACUGAAGCCCUUCCCACACUCUUCACAUUUAUAAGGUUUCUUUCCAGUGUGGACUCUCUGAUGGACUUGAAGAUAAGAGCUAUGGCUGAAGCUCACUCCACACUCCUCACAUUUAUAGGGUUUCUCUCCUGGGUGGACUAGCAGAGGACCUUGGCAAUAUGAGCUUUUUCGGACACUCCUCCCAUGCUCCUCAUGCUUGUAUGGAUUCUCUCCAGUAUGGACUCUCCGAUGAUGGGGAGAUUGCAACUUUUGACUGAAACCCUUACACAAUUCAUCAGAUUUGUUUGAACUCUCUCUACUGUGCACUCUCUGAUGGGCUUGUAGACUGGAAAAUCGACGGAAGGUAUUAUCACAUUUUUCACAUUUGUAGGGCUUGUCUCCUGCAUGGGGUCUCUGGUGAGAAUCCAAAAUUGAACCUUUCUUACAUGUCUCCCUUUUGUAAUGUUUUUUAUCAACAUGGAUUCUGUGGUAAACUUGAAGACGUGAAUCCUUGUUAAAACAUUUCUUGAACACAUCUUCAGAGAGUGCAACAUCUUGUUUUUUUAACCAAGAGCCAGUUCCUUGAAUAUUUAUCAUGGACUCUUGAUGCCCAGUUAAGUCCCCUGUAACCUGUUGCCAGACUUGUGAGUAGAAAAGCUCAUCAUGGGGCAGAUACUGUAACUUUACUUCUUGGAGAGUCUCUAUCUCACUUAGAUUCUUAUUUCCUAAAAGGACAAAGAGAAUUCAGAGAUGAGGCAUGUGAAUGCUCUAUUCAGUUAGGCCAAUAGCCUAAGGUUUUAUUAAGAAGGUUCUAUUUUUUUUUAUCAUCAUGCAUUAGGUUAUCUGUCUUAUAAGAGCCCCAAAACCAAGAGACAGUCUACUAUGCUCCCAUUCACUGCACAAUAAUGACACUCAUUUAGAGUUUUCCUAAGUUUUAUAAGUAAGCUAUAAGUUAGAAAUUUGAUAGUCAAAGAGCAAGAAUAAUACUUCCUAGGAAACCUAUUCCAAGAAGCUGAACCUUACCAAAAGGCUUGCCUUCUUUGCUGCAGCAGGUGUCUGGAAAAAUCUUCUACAUAAUUUUUCUGCUUACUGCAUGUACAACUGGCUCAGCCAUUCAGUCUAGGGUAAUUGUUAUAGCAGUUGUGACAGACUAAGACAGUGAAUUAAUGGAUUUUAGCAUAUGUUUACCUAUAUCCAAAAGAACCUCGUAAACUAGAAAUAGGUUAGACACCUAACCGAAUAAAGCUGUUCUAGAUUGUGUUUCAUCACACAUUUGUACAUUUGUACUUACCAACCUUUAAGUAUCUCCAUAACUAAUAGAAAAAAAUCCAUGUAACCAUUAUUAACACAUUAAUUCAUUCCACAAGUAUUUAUAGGAAACCUGCCCUCUGCCGGGUCAAUUUUAUACACUGAGGAUAGAUCAACAAAAUAGACAAAAAUUUUCCUUUCUUCUGAGGUCACAUUCCAGUGGGAAUACAGUGAGAUAAUCAUGUAAACAAAAAUAUGUUAAUAUAAUAAGUGGUGAUCAAUGCUUAGAUGUAAAAUAAACAGGAAAAGGGAAGCAAAGGAAGAAGGCAAAAUUAACAGAGUGGUCAUGGAAGGCUUUUCUUCAGAUAGGACAUCUGAGAAGAGACCUGAUGAACUAAGGGAGGGGCGCCAAGAGGAUGACAGAAGGAAACACCACUCCUUACAAAAAGCAGUCCAAGCAGCAGAUGAUGAGGCACAAGCACACUCAGCCUAGCAGAGAGGCCAGUACGGAUGAACUGAUUGACAAGGAGGAAAGUCACAGGUGUGUUUACAGAACAAUGGGGGAACAAGGAGCAGACAGACACAUGAGACAUUAUAAACCACUUUAGGUACCUGGAUUUUACUCUAAACGAAGUAAGAAGUUGUUAGAGGUUUAGAAUAUGAAAUGAGACAUGAUCUGACUAACAUUCAAGAGUCAAAGAGGCUGGGAUUGUGGCUUAGUGGUAGAGCACUUGCCUAGCAUGUGUAAGGCACUGGGUUCGAUUCUCAGCACCACAUAAAAAUAAAUAAAAAUCCAUCAACGACUUAAAAAAUUUUUUUUAAAAAAGGAGCAAAAUCAAAGUGGAGAGUGGACUAUAAGAGAGCACAACUGAAGGAUGAGGGCAGAAUAAAGACCACUUCAGUGAUUAGAGACCCAGGCACUAGCUUAACUCAGAGCAAAGCUGUGGAGAUGACAAGGACAGACACAGAACUGCAUGGUUCUCACUUGGGGAGUUACCACUCUGAGUUGACACCUUCUUCAUCCAAAGCUCUUCUCUCUUUCUCUCUGGUGUGAUGGACUGAUGUCCUACAAAAAGACAAAAACAAAAUACAUUAGAGGCCAAAAUUGCUAAAAAUUGUCAUUCUCCCUGAUCAUCUUCAGGACAUCAAAACUAGUGUUUAUGGGCUGGGGUUGUGGCUCAGCAGUAGAGUGCUCACUUAGCAUGUGCAAGACCCGGGGUUCAAUCCUCAGCACCACAUAAAAUAAAUAAAUAAAUGAAAUAAAGGUAUUGUGUCCAUCUACAACUAAAAAAAAAGCUAGUGUUUUCCAAACUUUCAAUCAUGACUCAACAGAGGAAAUAUAUUCUAUGCGAAGACCCCAAAUAUGAAGACAUUAGUAUACAUUACUGGAAAAAAAAAAAGUCCUCUCUCUCUCUCUCUCCUCUCUCUUCUUUUUGGAGGCCGUGUCAUGACCUGCUUUCCUCACCAUACUGCUAAAAAUAAAUAAGUAAAUAAAUAAAUAAUUUUUUUUAAAAAAAAAAAAGUCUGUUUUCACUGUACCCUCCCCACUGCCUCUCACACUGCUCUUGGCAAUGUGAUGCAGUUUUGCAGUUAUGGUCACAUACAGUAUUUUCUACUGUACUGUAUUUCAUUAAGAAACAUUCAUACAAGGCUGAGGUUGUGACUCAGUGGUAGAGCUCUUGCCUAGCAUGUGUGAGGCACUGGGUUUGAGCACUGCAUGUAAAUAAACAAAAUAAAGGUCCAUCAACAACUAAAAAAAAAAAAAUUUCAUACAAUUCACUAAAUACCAUGACCCACUAAUUGGA